This 468-nucleotide ribosomal RNA is filed under the name uncultured bacterium. RNAcentral's name for it is "partial 16S ribosomal RNA". It matches the Rfam family "Bacterial small subunit ribosomal RNA", at positions 28 to 507 of the family's 1533-position model. The record is from RNAcentral.
GACGAACGCUGGCGGCGUGCUUAACACAUGCAAGUUGAGCGGAAAGGCCCUGCUUUUGUGGGGUGCUCGAGUGGCGAACGGGUGAGUAACACGUGAGUAACCUGCCCUUGACUUUGGGAUAACUUCAGGAAACUGGGGCUAAUACCGGAUAGGAGCUCCUGCUGCAUGGUGGGGGUUGGAAAGUUUCGGCGGUUGGGGAUGGACUCGCGGCUUAUCAGCUUGUUGGUGGGGUAGUGGCUUACCAAGGCUUUGACGGGUAGCCGGCCUGAGAGGGUGACCGGCCACAUUGGGACUGAGAUACGGCCCAGACUCCUACGGGAGGCAGCAGUGGGGAAUAUUGCACAAUGGGCGGAAGCCUGAUGCAGCAACGCCGCGUGCGGGAUGACGGCCUUCGGGUUGUAAACCGCUUUCGCCUGUGACGAAGCGUGAGUGACGGUAAUGGGUAAAGAAGCACCGGCUAACUACGUG